RNAcentral lists this ribosomal RNA (200 nucleotides) under uncultured bacterium. RNAcentral describes it as "partial 16S ribosomal RNA". It matches the Rfam family "Bacterial small subunit ribosomal RNA", at positions 29 to 256 of the family's 1533-position model. The record is from RNAcentral.
AACGAACGCUGGCGGCAUGCCUAACACAUGCAAGUCGAACGAGAACUUCGGGUCUAGUGGCGCACGGGUGCGUAACGCGUGGGAAUCUGCCCUUGGGUUCGGAAUAACAGUGAGAAAUUACUGCUAAUACCGGAUGAUGACGAAAGUCCAAAGAUUUAUCGCCCAAGGAUGAGCCCGCGUAGGAUUAGCUAGUUGGUAAG